GUAACUGUUGCUUACUGAACUUUGGGCAAGUCACUGUGGGCCUCAGUUGGACUCCAUGAACUCUAAGAGUUUUCUAUAAAAAAUAAGAAACUAUAUGUAUAAUCCAGUGAAAUUGUUUGUCAACUCCAGGAGGAAGGAGAGAAGACAAGAGGAAGAUGACAAGAAUCAUGUAACCAUGGGAAAAUUUGUUUUGAAAAAAGAAGCUCAUUUUUCUUAGGAAAAUAACAAAAAUAUUUGUUAACCGAAGAUAAAAAAUGAAGACAUGAUGAUGAUGUUCGGAGAACCCUAAGGAACCCUAAGACCUCUUGUGUCCUCCCAUAGUUUAGAUGGGAGUCCAGUCAAAGGGUAGGGUUGAUAUUGAUCAAAAUGUAUUUUCAAAUGGAAUAGGGGAUACAGUUUAUAUUAAAUCCACCCAAGGUAUAUAUACAUAACAUAUCUAUUUAUAUAUGGUACAUCAGAUUAUUUAAUAAAUGUCUGUUAGUUGAUUAAAA
Monodelphis domestica (gray short-tailed opossum) is the source of this 491-nucleotide non-coding RNA. The record is from RefSeq and is a predicted model, not a curated record. Lineage: Eukaryota; Metazoa; Chordata; Mammalia; Didelphimorphia; Didelphidae.